Small nuclear RNA from Leptonychotes weddellii (Weddell seal), 107 nucleotides. NCBI's taxonomy places the organism in Eukaryota, Metazoa, Chordata, Mammalia, Carnivora, Phocidae. The record is from RefSeq and is a predicted model, not a curated record.
GUGCUUGUUUGGACAGCACAUAUACCAAAAUUGGAAUGACACAGAAAAGAUUAGCUUAGCCCCUGAGCAAGGAUGACACACAAAUUUGCAAAAAAUUUCAUAUUGUU